GGGUUCUUAGCUCAGUUGGUUAGAGCGCCACGUUGACAUCGUGGAGGUCGGCAGUUCGAAUCUGCCAGAACCCA
This 74-nucleotide transfer RNA is filed under the name Natronogracilivirga saccharolytica. It matches the Rfam family "tRNA". From Rfam's summary of the family: Transfer RNA (tRNA) molecules are approximately 80 nucleotides in length. Lineage: Bacteria; Pseudomonadati; Balneolota; Balneolia; Balneolales; Cyclonatronaceae. The record is from Rfam by way of RNAcentral.